Molecule: ribosomal RNA, 473 nt
Filed under: Streptococcus mitis
Lineage: Bacteria; Bacillati; Bacillota; Bacilli; Lactobacillales; Streptococcaceae
Description: bacterial SSU rRNA
Rfam family: Bacterial small subunit ribosomal RNA
Source: RNAcentral
GACGAACGCUGGCGGCGUGCCUAAUACAUGCAAGUAGAACACUGAAGGAGGAGCUUGCUUCUCUGGAUGAGUUGCGAACGGGUGAGUAACGCGUAGGUAACCUGCCUGGUAGCGGGGGAUAACUAUUGGAAACGAUAGCUAAUACCGCAUAACAGUAGAUGUUGCAUGACAUUUGCUUAAAAGGUGCAAUUGCAUCACUACCAGAUGGACCUGCGUUGUAUUAGCUAGUUGGUGGGGUAACGGCUCACCAAGGCGACGAUACAUAGCCGACCUGAGAGGGUGAUCGGCCACACUGGGACUGAGACACGGCCCAGACUCCUACGGGAGGCAGCAGUAGGGAAUCUUCGGCAAUGGACGGAAGUCUGACCGAGCAACGCCGCGUGAGUGAAGGAGGUUUUCGGAUCGUAAAGCUCUGUUGUAAGAGAAGAACGAGUGUGAGAGUGGAAAGUUCACACUGGACGGUAUCUACCAGA